CACUCCUGCGGGAGGCAACAGUGGGGAAUAUUGGACAAUGGGCGCAAGCCUGAUCCAGCCAUGCCGCGUGAGUGAUGAAGGCCCUAGGGUUGUAAAGCUCUUUCACCGGUGAAGAUAAUGACGGUAACCGGAGAAGAAGCCCCGGCUAACUUCGUGCCAGCAGCCGCGGUAAUACGAAGGGGGCUAGCGUUGUUCGGAUUUACUGGGCGUAAAGCGCACGUAGGCGGACUAUUAAGUCAGGGGUGAAAUCCCGGGGCUCAACCCCGGAACUGCCUUUGAUACUGGUAGUCUUGAGUUCGAGAGAGGUGAGUGGAAUUCCGAGUGUAGAGGUGAAAUUCGUAGAUAUUCGGAGGAACACCAGUGGCGAAGGCGGCUCACUGGCUCGAUACUGACGCUGAGGUGCGAAAGCGUGGGGAGCAAACAGGAUUAGAUACCCUAGUAGUCCCA
RNAcentral lists this ribosomal RNA (447 nucleotides) under uncultured organism. Its description in RNAcentral is "partial 16S ribosomal RNA". It matches the Rfam family "Bacterial small subunit ribosomal RNA", at positions 334 to 797 of the family's 1533-position model. The record is from RNAcentral.